GCGAGUUUUAACUGAGCGUUCAGUUACUUGACGUAGACCCGAAACCGGGCGACCUACCCAUGAGCAGGAUGAAGCGACAGUAAAAUUUCGUGGAGGUCCGAACCCACGAGCGUUGAAAAGCUCGGGGAUGACUUGUGGGUAGCGGUGAAAUUCCAAUCGAGCCCGGAGAUAGCUGGUUCUCCCCGAAAUAGCUUUAGGGCUAGCC
RNAcentral lists this ribosomal RNA (205 nucleotides) under Clostridioides difficile. Its description in RNAcentral is "partial 23S ribosomal RNA". It matches the Rfam family "Bacterial large subunit ribosomal RNA", at positions 677 to 881 of the family's 2925-position model. The record is from RNAcentral. Lineage: Bacteria; Bacillati; Bacillota; Clostridia; Peptostreptococcales; Peptostreptococcaceae.